AUCCAGAUAAUGAGUCCCAAAUAGGACGAAAUGCGCAUCCUAGAU
Molecule: non-coding RNA, 45 nt
Filed under: Trichobilharzia regenti
Lineage: Eukaryota; Metazoa; Platyhelminthes; Trematoda; Strigeidida; Schistosomatidae
Source: RNAcentral